AGUAAACUAUUAUAUCAUCACUUUUUAUCUCCUUGCGUAUAAUUGGAUAGAUGUAUGUGUAUAUGGAUAUUAACGCCGGUAAUAUUGCAUUGUGUAUUUAUUCACUACAACUUCAUUGUGUCAUGAUGACACAAAAUUCAUACAUGACAACUACAAAUUUUAUUUUGUUGUAACAAAGAUAUGAAUAUGCAUACAAAUAUGUUUAUGUAUACUGACAAAAUUUCAUGAUUUUUUCUAAAUAAUGUAGCUACGCUUUGACUGUCCACGUGCGCACACAUCUCAUUUAAAUACGUAAAUGUCGGUGGUAGAAACUAUCUUGAUGGUUUUAGUGCACUCAUUCAUAUUUGUGUAAGAAAAAGGUGAUUGGGGAAAUUAUAUGAUAAAAAACAGUUAAAAACAAUGUUAAAAAAAUAAGUGGGUAUUGAGUAAUAAUAAAUUCGUUAGCAACAUUUGCAUGGAUGGUUUUCAAUAUUUUUCUACACAACAUGCAUGUUGAAUAUCUCGUGUUGCCUUAUUUCGUUUGUAUAGUGCCUAAUUCAAGUUUUUACAACCUUAUGCCCCUAUUGCGGUUUUCAACCCAAAUGCAUUUCAGUCGAAGUUUAAAAAUUCGGUAUUGCCAACUUCAACUCAAUCCGUCAAAAAAAUUGCGGUUGAAGUAUGAUCGAACUUCAACUUUUUUUUGGUAUUGCGGUUUUCAACUCUGUACAAGUGGGUUUGACUAGUAUAUAAAUAAACUUCAACUGCUUAAUAGCAGUUGAAGUUCACCAUUCGUGCAGUGAAAUACAAAAAAAUAUUAAUGAAAAAUGGAGGACGGAAAAAAUAAAGUUGCAACAAAAAAGCAUUUCGAAAAAUUGGUGGAGUUAAUGGAGAAGUUUCCAGAAGUAGGAAGAGGAAAGCCACAAUUUGGAAACAAUAAAUUCAAUUUGAGGUGCAGCGCCUCAAAAUUGCCAAAUUAAAAUCUUCGCAAAGAUUUUAAUUUUUUUUGGUUAUUUAAGACACAAAGUAAUAUUUUUUUUAUUUUAUUUUUAAUUAUUCUGGAAUGAAGUGAUAUUUUAUAUUUUUGUACCAUAGUGUAAGUUUACUUUAAAAAAUUAAGUGAUAUUGUUAUUUAAUGAAUUUAUUGAAAUAAAAUUUAAAUAUAUGCCUGAAUAAAUAGCACAUUAGAAAGAAUAAAUGAAA
This is a long non-coding RNA of Bactrocera neohumeralis, 1179 nucleotides long. RefSeq lists it as uncharacterized. Lineage: Eukaryota; Metazoa; Arthropoda; Insecta; Diptera; Tephritidae. The transcript is spliced from 2 exons. The record is from RefSeq and is a predicted model, not a curated record.